RNAcentral lists this ribosomal RNA (253 nucleotides) under uncultured bacterium. RNAcentral's name for it is "partial 16S ribosomal RNA". It matches the Rfam family "Bacterial small subunit ribosomal RNA", at positions 524 to 776 of the family's 1533-position model. The record is from RNAcentral.
UACGUAGGGUCCGAGCGUUGUCCGGAUUUACUGGGCGUAAAGAGCGCGCAGGCGGUCGUUCAAGUCGCGUGUGAAAGCCCCCGGCUCAACUGGGGAGGGUCACGCGAUACUGAUCGACUCGAAGGCAGGAGAGGGAAGUGGAAUUCCCGGUGUAGUGGUGAAAUGCGUAGAUAUCGUAAGGAAGACCAGUGGCGAAGGCGGGUCUCUGGACAGUUCCUGACGCUGAGGCAAGAAGGUCAGGGGAGCAAACGGG